This 2150-nucleotide long non-coding RNA is filed under the name Triticum aestivum (bread wheat). RNAcentral's name for it is "long non-coding RNA (TAES_LNC001436)". The record is from RNAcentral. Lineage: Eukaryota; Viridiplantae; Streptophyta; Magnoliopsida; Poales; Poaceae.
UGAAAGAUGAGCAACAUCUGAUCAAUUGUCUAAAUUGUGAUCAAACACCGUAGAGAUAUAUGAUAUGACAACAACACUGAGAAUGUGAUUGUUGUGAAACUUCAACGUGAUUGUGCAGUACCUACUGAAGUAACUACCAUAUAUAUGUGGCCAUCCUUUUUCUAUGUGAGCAAAUCCAAAUCAACCAAAGAUAUCUGAAACUACUCAAUGUCUCUGUAGGCAUAUUUUUCAUCGACAUAUUUAUGGUAUCUUGAUGCUUCACUCUUGAUUCUCUUGAGUCCAUCAGAAUGGUCUUCAUGGCGCGGACUUUCUCCUUCAUCUACUAAAAACCUGAUGUCACCAAAAAGACGAAUCAUCUUGUACAUAAAAACAUUACAUCACUAACAAAUUUCUAUGAUCAAUAUAUACUCCUCAUUGUGAAGAUUUAGAGCAUAUCCAAACUGAGAAUAGUUAGAAUAUAUCUAGCUAAUCCUAACUGAGAAGAGUUAGAACAUAUCCAAACUUCCUAGUGAGACUUAUGUAUUUCUAGGAAGCUUAGGCCGGGUUACAAUUAUGUAUGUAAUGCCUUAGGAAAAUCAAAUAAAACAACAAUAAGGGAGCUAGCUACCUCACCCUUUGAUUCAAAGUUGCACAGUGUUGAUGCCCGGGAGGAACAUGCUGCCCAGAAACAAAAGUUUUGUUUUCGUAGAAAAAAACUUGUUGGUAAGCAUGACUGAAAUUACUACCUUGGGUGCGGUAUGGGUUGUCCUCAUCCUGGUCUGCCAACAUGAUCAGCUUUGGCGGCAGCUGGCGAUGUGGUUGCGAGGCUUGGGCGCCAUGGCGAGGACGUCGUCCAGGAUGCCACAUGAGCCUGUCAAGCUCAAGGAUAGGGGGCUUCGGCAGUGGCAAAAGGAUGCACAUAUGGAUGUUCCCUUACCAGGCGUCGUUGUCGACCUGCUAGUCAACAUUCAUCUCUUACUCUGGUUGUGCUAUUAUGCGGGCAUGUGGUGCUUAGUUUUAAUUUCCCUGUCGUUCUUAGACCAUGACUGAUCAAUCACCACCAUACAUUUAUAUGAUCUAUUACUCCGUACUUGUUACUCUUGUUUCUCUGCAUUGUUUGCUGCAAAAAUUAAAACUUUGAGGUGCAGAUUCACAAGAAUGUCAGGACAAUAUUCAAAAUAUUUUCUUUUGAGCUUUGUUCAUACGAAAAGUGACAUUGUAGGUUGGAUUGCUAGCUCAAGGUGCAUGAGAGAUCAAAAAAACAAAAAUCUCCAAGGAUAUUUUACCCACGUGCACACACAAAUGGGCACACAACCAAAACUUAUAUCCUUUUAGUCUAUUGGAAAAUGAAGAUACUAAUAUGCUGGAAUUCUAACCUUCAGAGAACUCCCAAUCGUCAUUCUGUAUGCACCUAUACAGGGGCAUUAUAUGUACUUCUCCCAAUCAUCAAUCUGCCGGGAAACUAAUUAUGGGCUGCAUAAGCUACCAGAUACAUAGAAAUAUGAUGCACGUGUUGUUGGAGUUGCAACCAAAACAGUCAUUCAUGCCCAUCUUCUCUGAAGUUUGAGGCAUCGGUUCUGUGAAGUCUUGCUAGCUGGUAUAAAAUGUGAACUUAUUAUAUUACCACUGCCAACCACUAAUGCGAAUUCUUGACCUUGUUUCCCUCAAAAACAAUAUUUCUCCACAUGAAGUUAUUUAUAAAAAAGGGACAACUUGCAUGGUUCUAAAGGUAAAACUACAAAAAUAAUAUAUAUCUCAAACUCAUGCACACCUUCAGCUAAAUAGCUACAGAGAUUCUGAGUGCAACCAUCCAUGCAACAUUGGUCUUAGAAACAACUCAAUUAUAAACACACCUGGGUCUAGGACUCUUGCUCAAUGGAUCUACCAGCCUCGGCUUCCCCCUGUGUUGCUAUCUUCCAUAUUUUAAUCUCCUCUCCAGUAGCUGUGUUAUGUCCAUUAUCAGACCCUCGACAUGAAGAAUGCAUCAAACAUAGUUAUGUGAUGCCUUGUUGGCUCCGACCUUCUUAAGAGAAGUAGUAUACUUUUUUUCCGAGAAAACAGAGAAGUAGUAUACUUGAUCAUAACACACAUGAGAGCAUUACAAUUUCAUACAUUAUAGACAACUAAUGGCUUGACUAAACUAACCAAGCACAUGUUAUGUUUAGUGUUUU